This 497-nucleotide ribosomal RNA is filed under the name uncultured bacterium. Its description in RNAcentral is "partial 16S ribosomal RNA". It matches the Rfam family "Bacterial small subunit ribosomal RNA", at positions 28 to 507 of the family's 1533-position model. The record is from RNAcentral.
GAUGAACGCUGGCGGCGUGCCUAAUACAUGCAAGUCGAGCGAACGGACGAGAAGCUUGCUUCUCUGAUGUUAGCGGCGGACGGGUGAGUAACACGUGGAUAACCUACCUAUAAGACUGGGAUAACUUCGGGAAACCGGAGCUAAUACCGGAUAAUAUUUUGAACCGCAUGGUUCAAAAGUGAAAGACGGUCUUGCUGUCACUUAUAGAUGGAUCCGCGCUGCAUUAGCUAGUUGGUAAGGUAACGGCUUACCAAGGCAACGAUGCAUAGCCGACCUGAGAGGGGGAUCGGCCACACGGGAACGGAGACACGGUCCAGACUCCUACGGGAGGCAGCAGUAGGGAAUCUUCCGCAAGGGGCGAAAGCCUGACGGAGCAACGCCGCGUGAGUGAUGAAGGUCUUCGGAUCGUAAAACUCUGUUAUUAGGGAAGAACAUAUGUGUAAGUAACUGUGCACAUCUUGACGGUACCUAAUCAGAAAGCCACGGCUAACUACGUG